UUAAACAAUCACAUUAUUUUCAAUGUCCAAAAAUCUAUAGGCAGCACUAUUUGAAGCAUAUCCAAGAAAUACACAAGUGGCAACUCUAACACCCAAUUUUGGUCUUUUAGGGUCUAGUAGGCGGUAGCCUCACAUAAGCUAGACAACUCCAUAUUUUAAGAUAUCCCAAGUUUGGUUUAUACCCUUUCCACAAUUCAAAAGAUGUCAUUUUAAACUUCUUAUAUGACACGCGAUUUAUGAAAGUUUUGAAGAGCCCAAGGAUUUAUCUAGAUUGUAUCUAACACCUAGAGGGGGGGUGAAUAUGUAUAAUAGCCAAAACCACAAAUCUCAAUGCGAUAAAAAUAAAUGCGAAAAAUAAAAAUCACACCGAGAUUUACAUGAAAAAACUCUGACUUGGAGAAAAACCCACGGGACCAACACGCGAAAAAAUAAUUCACUAAGAGAAAAGAUUACAAGGUGAUUACCGACUCCAUGGACUCAACCUCUCUUAACCUCCUAUGAAUCUCGCGCAAUCCUCCGGGUUGUCCACGCCCUCACGUUCGAAUCCACGAACGCCACGUUCCGAAUCCACGAAACGCCUCCACUCCGAAUCCACGAAGUUCACGAUCCGAAUCCACGAACCACCGUCAAUCACGUCGAAUCCAUGACGCCGUCAUGAAGAACAUCAUGUGUAUGGUGAUCCUUCGCUUAGAGUAUUG
RNAcentral lists this long non-coding RNA (698 nucleotides) under Ananas comosus (pineapple). RNAcentral's name for it is "long non-coding RNA (ACOM_LNC036549)". Lineage: Eukaryota; Viridiplantae; Streptophyta; Magnoliopsida; Poales; Bromeliaceae. The record is from RNAcentral.